Molecule: ribosomal RNA, 170 nt
Filed under: uncultured Rhodoferax sp.
Lineage: Bacteria; Pseudomonadati; Pseudomonadota; Betaproteobacteria; Burkholderiales; Comamonadaceae
Description: partial 16S ribosomal RNA
Rfam family: Bacterial small subunit ribosomal RNA
Source: RNAcentral
CUACACACGUCAUACAAUGGCUGGUACCAAAGGGUUGGCCAACCCGCAGGGGGGCCAAUCCCAUAAAGCCAGUCGUAGUCCGGAUCGUAGUCUGCAACUCGACUACGUGAAGUCGGAAUCGCUAGUAAUCGUGGAUCAGAAUGUCACGGUGAAUACGUUCCCGGGUCCUU